This 111-nucleotide microRNA precursor is filed under the name Drosophila guanche. Lineage: Eukaryota; Metazoa; Arthropoda; Insecta; Diptera; Drosophilidae. The record is from RNAcentral.
UGCUGCUGAUGCUGCUGCUGAUGCUGCUGUUGUUGUUGAUGCAAGCCAAAGCCCGUGGCUCCGUAGAACUGCUGCUGGCCAGCAACAGCAGCAGCAGCAGCAACACCCAUU